GGACUCUUGAAGUCUUAGUGGCGCAGCUAACGCACUAAGUUGACCGCCUGGGGAGUACGGCCGCAAGGUUAAAACUCAAAUGAAUUGACGGGGGCCCGCACAAGCGGUGGAGCAUGUGGUUUAAUUCGACGCAACGCGAAGAACCUUACCUGGCCUUGACAUGCAGAGAACUUUCCAGAGAUGGAUUGGUGCCUUCGGGAACUCUGACACAGGUGCUGCAUGGCCGUCGUCAGCUCGUGUCGUGAGAUGUUGGGUUAAGUCCCGUAACGAGCGCAACCCCUAUCCCUAGUUGCUAGCAGUUCGGCUGAGAACUCUAGGGAGACUGCCGGUGACAAACCGGAGGAAGGUGGGGAUGACGUCAGGUCAUCAUGGCCCUUACGGCCAGGGCUACACACGUGCUACAAUGGUGCGUACAGAGGGCUGCAAACCCGCGAGGGGGAGCUAAUCUCACAAAACGCAUCGUAGUCCGGAUCGGAGUCUGCAACUCGACUCCGUGAAGUCGGAAUCGCUAGUAAUCGCGAAUCAGAAUGUCGCGGUGAAUACGUUCCCGGGCCUUGUACACACCGCCCGUCACACCAUGGGAGUGGAUUGCACCAGAAGUGGUUAGUCUAACCUUCGGGAGGACGAU
RNAcentral lists this ribosomal RNA (628 nucleotides) under uncultured bacterium. RNAcentral's name for it is "bacterial SSU rRNA". It matches the Rfam family "Bacterial small subunit ribosomal RNA", at positions 826 to 1454 of the family's 1533-position model. The record is from RNAcentral.